GAGCUCCCUAGAACAUUCUGUGCCCGGGGAAGGAGUGUGACCCCCACUUCCCAGAGACAGAUGCAGGAGGAGCCUGACAAAGCCUGACCCACCCCUCAAAGGAAAGCAAAUAGGGCUCUGGUCCCCUUGUUUGGGGGAAACCCACAGGAGAGGUGUGGCGGUUCUCAAGAAGCAUAAGUCAGUUACACAUAAGGCAACUUGGUGGCCUUCCAACGGUGAUGGCCCUUGGAUAACCAAGGGCCAGGGGUUUCACAAGGCCACUCUGCAAUGACCAUGGACUGCAAGGCUUCAACUGCUCCUCUAUUCUCCAAGAGUGUAGGCCACCAUCCCCUAGGCCAGAGUUGGUGCCCACUGCCUGCUAGGGCACGCAGACUCCGGACAGCAAGAGGAGAGGACAAGAAACUAGCAUUCAUGCUUGCAACUACCUUAUGAAGAAAGUACGAAGGCAUUCAUCUCCAAACCGGCUUUUCUCCACUGUAAAAUAGAGAGAUUAGAUGACCAUGACCAAGGCAUGCAACUAAUCAACAGUGAAUAUGAGAUUGUUUCCUGAACUCCUUGGCUAGUUUUGUUUAGUGAGCCAUUCAAGCAUAUAAUUGUAAGAACAAGUAAAUUAGGUAAAUGUAAAAUGGGAUAAAAAUUUAUAGGUGAACUUGUUAUAGUUUCAAAACUCUUUUUCAGUAACUUAUAAUCUUAAAGUUAUUUUAUGUUAAAUUAAGUAAUAGAU
Long non-coding RNA from Lemur catta (Ring-tailed lemur), 724 nucleotides. RefSeq lists it as uncharacterized. The transcript has 3 exons. The record is from RefSeq and is a predicted model, not a curated record. Lineage: Eukaryota; Metazoa; Chordata; Mammalia; Primates; Lemuridae.